Molecule: non-coding RNA, 30 nt
Filed under: Rattus norvegicus (Norway rat)
Lineage: Eukaryota; Metazoa; Chordata; Mammalia; Rodentia; Muridae
Source: RNAcentral
UGACAAGGUAUUGUCUUGUUUCAGACUCAA